CCCUAGCAACAACAGGGCCCAGUGCCUGAUGAGCAAGUGGAGAAAAGGACGGAAACUGAGUGAGCUCUCCUUUACAAAGACUCUAGCAGACAGAGGCCUCUCGAAGACCCACAACAGAGGGUCAUGAAAUAUGUUCCUGAGGACUCAGCUACUAAUGAGUGAGAUAAAGAGAUGGGAGCUGUGGGAAGCCAGAACAGCAGUGACCUCGCCUCUCAGUUCAUAGUCGCAGCGCUCAUGGGCAGCCUCAGGACUGAGAGGAUAGUGGUCCGCCCUGUCCGCAGGGAGGCAGGAACAGAGCCACAGGGACACGGAGUGACCACUCAAGGGAUGUGGGUGAAGACGGAAAGUAGGAACUGUGUGACUGGAGCACGAUGGAUCCUCCUGAAUUCACACCCCAGAUGCAUGGAACAUCCGAGAAUCUCUGAACACGACCCUCUCUCUGCAGAGUGGUACUGAGGAUUCCCUCCUCACCUCCAGUCACUCCUGUCACCAGGUCUCAGGGCGGAACCUUGGCAAAGGCUGCAGCAAUCCUUCCACCCUGGCUCUGUGUGUCCUUUGUCUCUGCUGAGCUGUCUGUGGUCCACGCUUCUGGCCAGUGAGUUGUGGCAGGGGUGGGGGGGCGGCUUUGCGGCAGGCAGAACCCUACUGACUUUGAAAGGUUCCAGUACUCCUUGCAGGGAGCUGCUGGGCUCCUCCUCCUCCUCCCCUCCACUACCACCAAGACACCAGUCUGGCGUGCUCCUGGUCUUCACGCUGCCCAUUCCUCAACCAGACGUCGUGAAUUGGCAAAGUUACUGUGGGAGGGCAGGCCAGGGACUACAUGAGGAAGAAGGACAAGGUGACAUAGGGGAGUAACUGGUGGCGCCCUCAGACCUACUGGGGUCCACAGGAAGAAGAACAAAGUCGCCAGGACCGGAUAUGAUUGGCACAGUGCGGGACCCCACCAGUAGGGGGUCUCAGACUUCUCCUCUGGACCCAAAGUAUUUUAUGUUCUAAAAAAUGCCUUUCCCUGGAAUUCCUCACAAGCCUUCCAGGUUCCCCGAUCUCUUUGCCCUUGAACUUAAUUUCCCACCUUCCCACCAUAGGUUACCAUCUUAUCAUAAUAAAUAUUUCCAGGGACAAGACAGCCAAGACCACCCACGUACUCACUUGUUUGUUUGCCUUUUUUCCUUUCUUUCUUCUUGUAUUUUCAGGCAGGAUUUCACACUUUAACCCACACCAUAGAAUUUGCAGCAAUUUCUUCUUUCCCUCUCCUAUCCACAAAGUGCCUUUUACCCCCUCUUCCACCAGGUGGCAAUCUUUGUUCACGACUGAAGAUGCCUCAGCUAAUCAGGGGCUGGCACACCUUGUCCACUAUGGAGGACUCCGGCAAUGGUAAAGGGUGGCAACAUGUGAAAGCUUUUACUCUUGUCUCCCAGAUCCGCGUCAUCUACCUGCUAGGGAAUUGGCAUCAGAUAAUGAUAUUCUUUAGGAAGGAGUAGGUUCAUUUUUCCGAUGGCAGGAAAAUGGCAGACACUAAGUAUAUUCAACCCGGCAAGCCACAAUGUAUCCACCCCUGAAUCAGAUACUCAGUUCUGCAUGUAGUGUGACAGUAGCAGAAAGCAAAACCUUAAUGAAUGGGAUCUUCAGACCCCAGAUUAGGGUAUAUCCCAUUGAUGCUCAUCUCAACUAUUGCUAAAGCUGUAUGUUUCCAAGUCAGCAGUGAGGUCUCUGCUGCCUGUGGCUUCUGAGUCAGCUAUUAAUGGGUCUUGGGUUUAGGGCCUCUUGGUCUCCCCAUUGAUCUUCAAUGGAUUCCUUGGAUUCCACGAAACACAGAGCACACUCCUUGAAAUCUGGAGAGUGCUUGUUUAGGGAGAGGUGGCAGCUUAGUUGAGAACUAAGCUCAGUUACUUCUUCUAGGAGAGAUAAGAUCCCCACAAUCAUCUGGGGAGCAGGACAUGCUCGGUCAGACAAAAAUCUUUGUCUCUCCUUCUAGGCAGCUCUCAACAUACAAGUGACCACUAUGUUCCUGCAUUUUUAGAUAUCUUGUUUGACUGUGACCCAUCCACCUAACAACAUAGUGAGAAAGAGCUCACCUCAUGAUGUCUCCUGGGGCCUGUUAGAACCAGACGCCACUCUCUUCCAGGACCCAGAGGCCCCUGUGAAGUGGAGUAUAUAUUCCCUGCUGAAGGUGGCUCAGGCUGGCUUCUGCCCAAGCAAGGGUCGCCUCUGUUCUGUCACCGCCGCAAAAGAAGAUCUUCACCAGAAGCUC
Long non-coding RNA from Mesocricetus auratus (golden hamster), 2251 nucleotides. RefSeq lists it as uncharacterized. The record is from RefSeq and is a predicted model, not a curated record. The transcript is spliced from 3 exons. NCBI's taxonomy places the organism in Eukaryota, Metazoa, Chordata, Mammalia, Rodentia, Cricetidae.